This 242-nucleotide ribosomal RNA is filed under the name uncultured bacterium. Its description in RNAcentral is "partial 16S ribosomal RNA". It matches the Rfam family "Bacterial small subunit ribosomal RNA", at positions 796 to 1041 of the family's 1533-position model. The record is from RNAcentral.
CGCACCGUAAACGAUGAUUACUCGUUGUUGGCAAUAUGACCGUCAGCGACCAAGCGAAAGCGAUAAGUAAUCCACCUGGGGAGUACGCCGGCAACGGUGAAACUCAAAGGAAUUGACGGGGGCCCGCACAAGCGGAGGAGCAUGUGGUUUAAUUCGAUGAUACGCGAGGAACCUUACCUGGGCUUGAAAGUUAGCGACCGGUCCUGAAAGGGAUCUUCCAGCAAUGGCGCGAAACUAGGUGC